Molecule: ribosomal RNA, 476 nt
Filed under: uncultured bacterium
Lineage: Bacteria
Description: bacterial SSU rRNA
Rfam family: Bacterial small subunit ribosomal RNA
Source: RNAcentral
CCUACGGGAGGCAGCAGUGGGGAAUCUUAGACAAUGGGGGAAACCCUGAUCUAGCCAUGCCGCGUGAUCGAUGAAGGCCUUAGGGUUGUAAAGAUCUUUCAGAUGGGAAGAUAAUGACGGUACCAUCAGAAGAAGCCCCGGCUAACUCCGUGCCAGCAGCCGCGGUAAUACGGAGGGGGCUAGCGUUAUUCGGAAUUACUGGGCGUAAAGCGCACGUAGGCGGACUUGAAAGUUGGGGGUGAAAGCCCAGGGCUCAACCCUGGAACUGCCCUCAAAACUCCAGGUCUUGAGGUCGAGAGAGGUGAGUGGAAUUCCGAGUGUAGAGGUGAAAUUCGUAGAUAUUCGGAGGAACACCAGUGGCGAAGGCGGCUCACUGGCUACGAUACUGACGCUGAGGUGCGAAAGCGUGGGAGCAAACAGGAUUAGAUACCCUGGUAGUCCACGCCGUAAACGAUGAAUGCCAGUCGUCGGGUAGC